RNAcentral lists this transfer RNA (65 nucleotides) under Tumulitermes sp. AUS49. RNAcentral describes it as "tRNA-Ala". The record is from RNAcentral. Lineage: Eukaryota; Metazoa; Arthropoda; Insecta; Blattodea; Termitidae.
GGGACUAUAGUUAAUGAUAACAUUUGAGUUGCAUUCAAAAAGUACUACCCAGGUAGUUAGUCUCA